GCAUCACUACAAAUUUCCUGCCACCCAGGCAGCUUGGAGUUGAGGAAUUCUGCACACUGCAUCCAGGUGUAAAAGUAGCUCAGUGCCUGCGUGUUUGGGAUGCAGCUUCUGCAGGGCAGUGUUUGAACUUGGACAAAGUCCUGUUUCCCCUCCCAAAUUAAAGGAAAAAAAAGAAGAGGAGUACGUUACCUGGAAAGUCUGUGGAUGGGUGAAAAUUAGAAGACUCAGGAGGAAGAGGAGAGCAAAAGACGGAAGGCGUUGCGCUAAGAAAGGUAGCUGUUGGCAUAUAUGGAGUUAACGAAUCAUGCGACUAGAUGAAUUAUAGAAUUGCUUUAGGAUAGAGUCCUGUAUUCCAAGGAUAUGGGGGAAGAGAAAGCUCUACAUGAUGUGGAAAACGUAUGCAUGCAUAGCAGGUAAGAAUCCCAAUGCCACCUUGAAUCCCCACCCCAUAUUGAAAACUUUUUUUCUGCAAGACUGAUCCCCUCUCUGCUUACCUUGCCCUGCACAACAAGGAGUUAAAAACCUUACUGCCCCCCUAUCCAAAAAUCAUAACAGUAGUGUGAUAAUUAUUAGUCUUGAAAUAUUCAUUUUGUUGAAUGCGCGUCCAGGUUAAGAUGCCAGUUUUCUUGACACCUUCUAAUCAGACUUCAGACUGAGAAAACAGUGACUGCACCUGCAUCAUCAGUCUUCAUUUAGGAGGACGUGACCAAAAUCCAGCAAGAAAAUGCGCAGCAGUUCCCCUCUCUGAAGCCA
This is a long non-coding RNA of Cygnus olor (mute swan), 753 nucleotides long. RefSeq lists it as uncharacterized. The transcript has 4 exons. The record is from RefSeq and is a predicted model, not a curated record. Lineage: Eukaryota; Metazoa; Chordata; Aves; Anseriformes; Anatidae.